CAGGAGUGGGGCUGUCAGAGUCACUGAAAGUGAAGCACAAUUCAACAUAAAUAAGCAGCCUUGAGAACCAUCAGCAGAAUAUUAAAUCAAAAUACUGAUUUAUUCUGUAUUAACUGCCCUGUGGUUUCAGCUCCAGCCAAGAAAGGCCUCUGAACUCUCUGUGUGCAGAGAUUUUGCCUUUGGUGGGUAUUAUAAUAAUGGAAUCAUGGAAUGAUUUGGGUUGAAAAGGACCUAAAAGCCCAUCUCAUUCUACACCUGCCAUGGGCAGGACACCCUUCACUGUCCCGGGCAGGACAAGCUGGCCUCGGGCACCUCCCGGGCUGGGGCAGCCUGUGCCAGCCUGCCAGCACUGUCCCAGGGAGGAAUUUCUUCCUCACUUCUUCCAGUGUAAAACUAUUGUCUUGUCCUAUCGCUAUCUGCCUGUGUAAAAAGUCACUCUCCAUCCUUUCACCAGCCGCCUUUAGGCCCUGAAGGGGCUGUGGGCUUUCCCUGGAGCUUUCUCUUCUCCCGGUGAAGGCCCCCAGCGCUCCCAGCCCGGCUGCAGAGCGGGGAGCUCCAGUCCCCGGAGCAUCUCCGGGACUCCCUUCGCACCAGCAGCUCCAAAACCAACCCCCACCGGCUCGGGCCGUUCCCGAGCGGCACGGGAGCUGUUCUCUGCCGGUCCCGAGCCCCACAGCGCCGGGCUCCGCUGCCGGCACUUCUCCUCCCGUUCCCCAGCUCCGCUCCCGGCGCUUCCCGGAGGAUCCCGGGCGCCGCUGCAGUCCCGGCUCCCGCCGCACGAGGGCGCUGUCCCCGGCGGGCCGUGCCCUGCUCGGCGCUCCGGCCCGCGGCUGCUCUCGGUGCUUUCCCGGGCCCGCUCCCGGUCCCCGCUUCCGCUCCCCGCUUCUGGCCGCGUGGCGCUGAGAGAGGCUCGGGGACAUGGCGGGCACGGGGAUUUCCUGCGGGGGCUCAGCCCCAGAGAAGCCACAGCUCCAGAUGGUGACAUGGAUGAGACUCGGUGCUUCCAUUCCUGAGGUGAGGGCGCACCAGCACAACAGCUCUGAAGAUGAGACUUGAUGGACAAAGGGAAGACAGGAUCGCUUCACUUUUCUCCACUGCCUGGGAUGCAAACAAAAGAAACAAGAGCAAGUUCCUGCCUGUUGAAAUUCCAGGAGCUUGAGCUGCAUUCCAGCACGGCUGAGAGGCAUUUUGAAUCUAUUCUCAUAUGCAUCAGCCCUGCACUGCUCCCAAGCAAAUGCACUCUCAGUUAGUUGUUAUUAUUAAUAGUAAAGGAUUGAAUAUCAAUAGUUCUCAUUAAUUUCCAUGGCAAUAUUGUCUGAAUCAAGAGUUGCUUCGAGUUGUGUAACUGAAGUUCAUAGUGUGAAGGAAUGCAAUCCAGGGGAAGUGCUCAGAUGGAGGGAAGUGACCGACCUUGCAUAACCUCCCUAAGGCCAAACUUCCCUUCAUAUCUAGCAGGCUGUGUUCCUAAUUUUCCAAAAAUAUGGAACGGUUUGCACUUUCAGCCUGUGUCCUCUGGGCUUCAGUCUCCAGCAUGCCUCACAGCUUUCCUGAAACAUUUCACCCACACAUUUAUUCAUUAUAUUCCUCCUAACGAUGCAUGGCUGGAGCUUCCAUAAGAGAAGAUAUAACAGGAAAAUAAAUAACAGUAGAAAAAUUUAAACCCA
Long non-coding RNA from Parus major (Great Tit), 1664 nucleotides. The record is from Ensembl. NCBI's taxonomy places the organism in Eukaryota, Metazoa, Chordata, Aves, Passeriformes, Paridae.